UACAGAGGUCUCAAGCGUUGUUCGGAUUCAUUGGGCGUAAAGGGUGUGUAGGUGGCGCGCUAAGUCGGGUGUGAAAUUUCGGAGCUUAACUCCGAAACUGCAUUCGAUACUGGCGUGCUUGAGGACUGGAGAGGAGACUGGAAUUCAUGGUGUAGCAGUGAAAUGCGUAGAGAUCAUGAGGGAGACCAGUGGCGAAGGCGGGUCUCUGGACAGUUCCUGACACUGAGACACGAAGGCCAGGGGAGCAAACGGG
RNAcentral lists this ribosomal RNA (253 nucleotides) under uncultured bacterium. RNAcentral's name for it is "partial 16S ribosomal RNA". It matches the Rfam family "Bacterial small subunit ribosomal RNA", at positions 524 to 776 of the family's 1533-position model. The record is from RNAcentral.